RNAcentral lists this unclassified non-coding RNA (181 nucleotides) under uncultured fungus. Its description in RNAcentral is "sequence contains ITS1". Lineage: Eukaryota; Fungi. The record is from RNAcentral.
UUGAUUAUUUAAUUUUUUCUCAGACUCUGAAAGUAUGCAGGUUCUUGGUCUCCGGCGGAUCACCGGAUCGCUCCAGUGAGUCCGCCGAAGCAACUGUAGCUUUUAGGCAAAAGGGUGGAGGGUAGAUUGCUGAGAGCAAUCACACUCGGUAAUGAUCCUUCCGCAGGUUCACCUACGGAAA